This 304-nucleotide unclassified non-coding RNA is filed under the name uncultured fungus. RNAcentral's name for it is "sequence contains ITS1". The record is from RNAcentral. Lineage: Eukaryota; Fungi.
CGUUCAGGCCCGCGUUGGAGUUUGCGGUUGCAAGUGAACAGGAGAUACCUGAUGCUGCUGCAAGGACGGAGGCACGCUGGGAUCCGCCGAAGUGGCUUUCGAGGGUCGUGGGGUAGGUUUCGUACUGCUCCAUACCGUAGAGGUUGACCUCGGUUGCGAUGUCGCUGACGGCUUCCUGGGUCGGCUUUGCCUUACCAAUGCCACCGUGUUUCUUCUUGACAUAGUCAAGACCAUAGUAGCAGAAGUCAUCAAGGAUGUUGUCGGUGUAUGCAGCUGUAGCAUACUGUGUGAAUCCGACACCACC